RNAcentral lists this long non-coding RNA (404 nucleotides) under Phascolarctos cinereus (koala). Its description in RNAcentral is "lncRNA (ENSPCIG00000004758.2)". The record is from RNAcentral. Lineage: Eukaryota; Metazoa; Chordata; Mammalia; Diprotodontia; Phascolarctidae.
GUCUUGAGUCUCCUUCAGACCAGCCCAGAAACCACCAUUCCAGAAACCAUUGAUGAGGUUGAUGUCUUGGGAAAAUGCCCUACCACAUAUGAGAGAAAAGGUUCACGACUCCUGAAGACAAAGGAUUUAAACCAGUGUUCCCUCCGACACCAUGGAUUUACUUUUCUUCAGUCAGAGGUUCUUCCAGGAAUGCCAUCGUCGCAGCCAAUCUUGGCUUCAAAGCUGGAAUGCUACCAGAGUUUCCAGGAAGGUCUGCUAGAGGACACAGCCUGCACAGAGUUUGACGUAGUCAGACCCUUCUCUGAGAAGGGGAAUGGUGUGCAGACAAGGACACAUUCCACCCUGAGUCUGCUGCAUGUGAAGCCCCAAGCCCUGUCCAACAAAGGUAACUGCUAUGUCCAGAC